UAAACCCAUAAAUUACACCAAGUAAGUUGAGCGAGCUUACCUUCAGUGUGAGAGAUUCAAGAGCCUUCAUACCCUCAUCAAAAUCGAGGUCCUUUCGAUACUUGUCCACGAUGCUGGACACCAGGGGACACCAGUCAGGAUCUUGAUUUUGGAACGAGGGCAUAGGUGGGACCUCAUCCUCGAGGUCAACAACCUCGGG
Molecule: long non-coding RNA, 199 nt
Filed under: Olea europaea (common olive)
Lineage: Eukaryota; Viridiplantae; Streptophyta; Magnoliopsida; Lamiales; Oleaceae
Description: long non-coding RNA (OEUR_LNC003859)
Source: RNAcentral